CCUACGGGCGGCAGCAGUGAGGAAUAUUGGUCAAUGGGCGCGAGCCUGAACCAGCCAAGUAGCGUGAAGGAUGACUGCCCUACGGGUUGUAAACUUCUUUUAUAAAGGAAUAAAGUGAGGCACGUGUGCCUUCUUGUAUGUAUUUUAUGAAUAAGGAUCGGGCAAAUCCGUGGCCGCAGGCGUGGUAAUACGGAGGAUCCGAGUUUUAUCCGGAUUUAUUGGGGUUGAAGGGCGCGUAGAUGGGGUGGUAAGUUAGUUGUGAAAGUUUGCGGCUUAACCGUAAAAUUGCAAUUGAGACUGGCAGCCUUGAGUACAGUUGAGGUAGGCGGAAUGCGUGGUGUAGCGGUGAAAUGCUUAGAUAUCACGAAGAACUCCGAUAGCGAAGGCAGCCUACUAAACUGCCACUGACAUUGAUGCUCGAAAGUGUGGGUAUCAAACAGGAUUAGAUACCCCAGUAGUC
RNAcentral lists this ribosomal RNA (460 nucleotides) under uncultured bacterium. Its description in RNAcentral is "partial 16S ribosomal RNA". It matches the Rfam family "Bacterial small subunit ribosomal RNA", at positions 338 to 795 of the family's 1533-position model. The record is from RNAcentral.